GGGCCCGCACAAGCGGUGGAGCAUGUGGUUUAAUUCGAUGAUACGCGAGGAACCUUACCAGGGCUUAAAUGUAAGUUGCAUGGAUCAGAGAUGGUCCUUUCUUCGGACUACUUACAAGGUGCUGCAUGGUUGUCGUCAGCUCGUGCCGUGAGGUGUCAGGUUAAGUCCUAUAACGAGCGCAACCCCUAUCGUUAGUUGCCAGCAAGUAAAGUUGGGUACUCUAGCGAGACUGCCGGUGCAAACCGAGAGGAAGGUGGGGAUGACGUCAAAUCAUCACGGCCCUUACGUCCUGGCUACACACGUGCUACAAUGGCCGGUACAGAGAGCAGCCACUACGCGAGUAGGAGCG
This 349-nucleotide ribosomal RNA is filed under the name uncultured bacterium. RNAcentral's name for it is "bacterial SSU rRNA". It matches the Rfam family "Bacterial small subunit ribosomal RNA", at positions 917 to 1269 of the family's 1533-position model. The record is from RNAcentral.